UACGGAGGGGGGUAGCGUUGUUGGGAAUUACUGGGCGUAAAGCGCACGUAGGCGGAUUUGUAAGUCAGGGGUGAAAUCCCGGGGCUCAACCUCGGAACUGCCUUUGAGACUGCAAAUCUCGAGUCCGGAAGAGGUGAGUGGAAUUCCUAGUGUAGAGGUGAAAUUCGUAGAUAUUAGGAAGAACACCAGUGGCGAAGGUGGCUCACUGGUCCGGUACUGACGCUGAGGUGAGAAAGCGUGGGGAGCAAACAGG
This 253-nucleotide ribosomal RNA is filed under the name uncultured bacterium. RNAcentral's name for it is "partial 16S ribosomal RNA". It matches the Rfam family "Bacterial small subunit ribosomal RNA", at positions 524 to 776 of the family's 1533-position model. The record is from RNAcentral.